This 336-nucleotide unclassified non-coding RNA is filed under the name soil metagenome. RNAcentral's name for it is "partial contains 5.8S ribosomal RNA, internal transcribed spacer 2, and large subunit ribosomal RNA". The stretch from base 1 to 120 matches the Rfam family "5.8S ribosomal RNA", at positions 35 to 154 of the family's 154-position model. The record is from RNAcentral.
GAUGAAGAACGCAGUGAAAUGCGAUAAGUAAUGUGAAUUGCAGAAUUCAGUGAAUCAUCGAAUCUUUGAACGCACAUUGCGCCCCUUGGUAUUCCAUGGGGCAUGCCUGUUCGAGCGUCAUUUGUACCUUCAAGCUUUGCUUGGUGUUGGGUGUUUGUCUCGCCUUUGCGUGUAGACUCGCCUUAAAAUAAUUGGCAGCCGGCGUAUUGAUUUCGGAGCGCAGUACAUCUCGCGCUUUGCACUCAUAACGACAGCGUCCAAAAGUACAUUUUACACUCUUGACCUCGGAUCAGGUAGGGAUACCCGCUGAACUUAAGCAUAUCAAUAAGCGGAGGA